AUAUUUACCUAGCAGGGAGACACCAUGAUCACAAAGGUGCUUUCCCAGGGUGAGGCUCACCCAUUGCAGGUGUGCUGACCCCUGCAAUUUUCCCCCAUGCAGGAAACUCUACUAGCAGGUCCUGGGGCAGUGCAGGGACAAGUGUGUAAACAUCUGUC
Small nuclear RNA from Sceloporus undulatus (fence lizard), 158 nucleotides. RefSeq annotates it as U1 spliceosomal RNA. The record is from RefSeq and is a predicted model, not a curated record. The transcript has a single exon. Lineage: Eukaryota; Metazoa; Chordata; Lepidosauria; Squamata; Phrynosomatidae.